Non-coding RNA from Aedes albopictus (Asian tiger mosquito), 58 nucleotides. The record is from Rfam. NCBI's taxonomy places the organism in Eukaryota, Metazoa, Arthropoda, Insecta, Diptera, Culicidae.
UAGCCUAGUGGUUAAGGCUAUGGAGCGCCAAUCCGGAGACGGCGGGUUCGAUUCCCGU